UUCUAGAAGUGUCUAUUGUGUUGACUACAGU
This 31-nucleotide non-coding RNA is filed under the name Rattus norvegicus (Norway rat). Lineage: Eukaryota; Metazoa; Chordata; Mammalia; Rodentia; Muridae. The record is from RNAcentral.